GAUGAACGCUGGCGGCGUGCCUAAUACAUGCAAGUCGAGCGAACAGAUGAGAAGCUUGCUUCUCUGAUGUUAGCGGCGGACGGGUGAGUAACACGUGAGUAACCUACCUAUAAGACUGGGAUAACUCCGGGAAACCGGGGCUAAUACCGGAUAAUAUUUUGAACCGCAUGGUUCAAUAGUGAAAGACGGUUUCGGGUGUCACUUAUAGAUCGACCCGCGCCGUAUUAGCUAGUUGGUAAGGUAACGGCUUACCAAGGCGACGAUACGUAGCCGACCUGAGAGGGUGAUCGGCCACACUGGAACUGAGACGCGGUCCAGACUCCUACGGGAGGCAGCAGUAGGGAAUCUUCCGCAAUGGGCGAAAGCCUGACGGAGCAACGCCGCGUGAGUGAUGAAGGUCUUCGGAUCGUAAAACUCUGUUGUUAGGGAAGAACAAAUUUGUUAGUAACUGAACAAGUCUUGACGGUACCUAACCAGAAAGCCACGGCUAACUACGUGCCAGCCGCCGCUGUAA
This 514-nucleotide ribosomal RNA is filed under the name uncultured bacterium. Its description in RNAcentral is "partial 16S ribosomal RNA". It matches the Rfam family "Bacterial small subunit ribosomal RNA", at positions 28 to 523 of the family's 1533-position model. The record is from RNAcentral.